GAGAACCAAGAGAUCCGUUGUUGAAAGUUUUGACUAUUAAGUAAUAAUCUGGUGUGACAAGUUAAUAAAAAAUUGGUUGUAAGUUUAGACCUCUGGCGGCAGGCUGGGCCCACCGCCAAAGCAAGUUUGUUUCAAAGAAAAACACAUGUGGUGCAAUUAAGCAAAUCAGUAAUGAUCCUU
Molecule: unclassified non-coding RNA, 180 nt
Filed under: uncultured Candida
Lineage: Eukaryota; Fungi; Ascomycota; Saccharomycetes; Saccharomycetales
Description: sequence contains ITS1
Source: RNAcentral